GCUGGGCGUGGUGGCUCACACCUGUAAUCCCAACACUUGGGAGGCUGAGGCAGGUGGAUCACCUGAGGACAGGAGCUCUAGACCAGCCUGACCAACAUGGAGAAAGCCUGUCUCUA
Callithrix jacchus (white-tufted-ear marmoset) is the source of this 116-nucleotide unclassified non-coding RNA. It matches the Rfam family "Metazoan signal recognition particle RNA". Rfam says of the family: The signal recognition particle (SRP) is a universally conserved ribonucleoprotein. It is involved in the co-translational targeting of proteins to membranes. NCBI's taxonomy places the organism in Eukaryota, Metazoa, Chordata, Mammalia, Primates, Cebidae. The record is from Ensembl.